RNAcentral lists this long non-coding RNA (457 nucleotides) under Brassica napus (rape). RNAcentral describes it as "long non-coding RNA (BNAP_LNC014702)". The record is from RNAcentral. Lineage: Eukaryota; Viridiplantae; Streptophyta; Magnoliopsida; Brassicales; Brassicaceae.
CUGUGUUUAAAAAGGCGCUCGCCUUAUGCGCCAAGGCGCAAGGCGCACUCAGGCGAUAGCUCCAUCGCCAUGCACAUCCCAGGCAAGGGUAUGGUCCCUAAGGCGCUCGCCUAGUGCGCUUUGGCCAUAAAGCGGUGCCUUCAAAGGCGAUGCAAAGGCGCGCCUUGGAGACCCUAUGUUAACCGACACUAAACCAGGUACGAAACCAAACCCUGCUUUAACUAAUUCACCAAUCUUAUAACAAAACGUCAAAAAUACUCAUCAAAACCCUAGCUCCCUCUUCAAAGUUAAACCAAACGUCAAAAAUUCUCACAAAACAUAUAUCUCACAGUGUUUUGCUUAAGGUUAGUCUCAUAGGUUCUUCUUCUUAUUAUUAUGACUACUUGUGUUUCUUGGUUACAGUCUAGAAUGCACUGCGAUUGCUUAUCUCUGUAAUUUUGGUGCUUCUUUUCUUUUA